RNAcentral lists this RNase P RNA (385 nucleotides) under bacterium. Its description in RNAcentral is "RNase P RNA component class A". It matches the Rfam family "Bacterial RNase P class A". From Rfam's summary of the family: Ribonuclease P (RNase P) is a ubiquitous endoribonuclease, found in archaea, bacteria and eukarya as well as chloroplasts and mitochondria. Its best characterised activity is the generation of mature 5'-ends of tRNAs by cleaving the 5'-leader elements of precursor-tRNAs. Cellular RNase Ps are ribonucleoproteins. The record is from RNAcentral.
UUAGAGUAAGCGGGCGAUUGCUCUAUUUUUAAUAGAGAGGAAAGUCCGGACUUCGUAAUUUGUUUAUUUAUAAGCAAAUAUGAUAGUGGGUAACGCCCACCGGUCUAUUCCGCCAGCUGGCGGAUGGAUUAGGGAAAGUGCCACAGAGACAAUACUAAUUCUGGAAUUUUUGACAGAAUCAAAGGUGAAAAGUGGCCGGAUGUCCUUCGGGGCUACCGGUUUCGGCCUCCGGUGACGGAGAUGCCGCGGUAAACCCUAUCAGAAGCAAGAGCAAACUAACUCGUUCUACGAGUUAAGGUAAGUAGCUCGCUCGAGCUCGCCAGUAAUGGCGCGCCUAGAUAAAUGAUCGCUAGAACAGAAUCCGGCUUACGGCUGCUCUAAUAAC